Molecule: long non-coding RNA, 35814 nt
Filed under: Marmota monax (woodchuck)
Lineage: Eukaryota; Metazoa; Chordata; Mammalia; Rodentia; Sciuridae
Rfam family: tRNA (bases 29762-29830)
Source: RNAcentral
AUACACACACAUUGGAAAACAGAUGCAUUUACAUAACUCAGCUCAGCUAUGUCACCCCUCUGGGGAGACAGAUUUAUAAUAAUAUGUAUGCAAUUUAGAUCUAAUGGUACUUGUCACCCCAUCUGCUUUGGUUCAAAUUCACUUGGGUUCUCAACUUUUUUUAUAAAUUGUGAGCUCUCAGAGGUCAGUAACUAUAUUUUGUUUCUUUUCUUUGUUUAUUCUUUUGAUUCUUCACAAUGCAUAAUGAAGGCUUUAAAGUCAAAGCAGAUGUAAGGUGAAUAUUGAAAUUCUUUAAAAAUAGAUAUUUGCACUUUAGAUAUGCUGAGUCUAAAGAUAAGAAAGCUAUGGACUUCCUAAAGUUGAUUGAAUACAGCUUAUUCUAAUGGGCAUAUGAAGAGUGAGUUCAGUUUGCCUGGGUUCAAAUCUGAUUCUGCCACUUAUUAGCUGUGGAAUUUUGAUUAAGCUGCUUAACUUCUCUGUGCUUUAGUUUUCUCAGGAAUGAAAGGGAAUAAUAAUGGAAUUUACUAAAAAUGAGGAUUACAUAAAGUAAUACACUGUACCCAGAACAGAGUAAGAACUUCACAUAUGUAAGAAUUGUUAUUAUUACUAAAAUCUAUGGGGAGCUCAGGACAAAGGGAAUUUGUGGAUGAAUAUGUGAGUAUUUUUAUUUUGUGAUGUCAUCUUGGGCACAUUACUUUACCUCUCUGAGCUUUGGUUUCUUUAUUUGCAAAAUGAGAAUAAUAAUAAAGCCUAUUCUAUAAAGUAAGUACUAAAUUAGACAAAGCAUGUAAUGCACUUAGAAAAGUACCUGGAACAUAGUAAAUGCUCAAUAAACUCAUUUAGUCAUUCACUAUAGACUUAUUAAGCAUUUUUUACUUAGUAGUACCUGCUGGGCAUUGUUGCAGGUCCCAAAGAUCCUGUAGCCUAGUGAGUGGAUCCAAAGAUAUUAUAAUACAGGUAGUGAUGAGGAUCUUGAGCAAAAGAAAAGCAGAGUAAGAGGAUGGAGAGUGAGGAGCUGGGACUGAGCUAGUUUGUAAAGGAUGGUUGGGCAGAGAUUGCAGGACAGAGGGAGAGUGUGUCUGCUUUGAGAAAGGGUAUUCUAGGCAAAGGCAAUGGCAACACCGCGUCUUGUUUAGUUUGCCUCCCGACCCCAACAGGAAGGAGUCAGAAGGACUAGAGCAGAGGGAGAGGUCAUGGAAUCAGAUCAUUGAGGGCUUAAAGGUCAUUGUUCAAACUUUGGGUUGGAAUCUAAGUAAGGGGGAAGAUCUUGGAAAGUUUAGGAUAGACCCGUGAAAUGAUUGAAUUAUGUUAUCAAGCAUCACUUUGUUGGGAGGGGUGGAUAGAACACAGGCUGACUGUGGUUCUUGUGAUUAUUACUUUUGUGUCUCUCUUCCCUGGGGGAAGCAGGUAUUUCUCCUUCCCUCAGAACUAGCACCUGAUGUUCAGAUCUGAAUAAAUCCCCCAGAGGUGCUGUUACAUGGUAGAAGUAUUUGAAGGCUGUCUUAUUUUCUUACAAAAGUGACUUUUCUUCAGAGCCUAUUAUAAUUUUUUAGACCUUGGUUGAAGUACUCAAGAAUAUGUGUAGGUUUGUCUCAAAGAGCUAACAACUAAUAACAAUAAAUGUGUUCAGUGAAAUCAAUCGUGGCUUUCUGGACUGGCCCAGACAACAUAACUUAGAGGGGACGUGCAUUAUUCAUUGCAAGCCUGGGUCUAAUCUGUAUGUGUCUAAUCUGUAUGUGUAUGCAGAUUAACAAGCAUUUGCACUGUGUAUUGAAGGCCUGGCAUAUGUGAGAGGACAUGUAUAUAUGCAUGUGUGCACAUAUGUGUAGUCCAGGCAUGUGUGGGCAUAUGUAUGGCCAAGUGUGGGCCUGCUACACAGGUAUUGGUAUUAUGUGCAUUGUAUGGCUGGGCUGUUGCAUGUUUCUGAGCAUGUGCAGUGUGCAUAAAUAUGAGUUUGAUGCAAAACAAAGAAGCUCAUCAGCAUCUCUGUCCCUGUUACAUUUGCAAUCCGGUUGGGAAGAUUCAAUGUAGAACAAGCUAUAAAAUAGCACAGACAUAACAGGUUCUCUUUCGUUGGAAGUCUUCUGCAAAGGGUGUCAUUAAUACUGAAUACUCAUGUUUUUGAGGUCUUCAGAUACUUGAAGUUUUAUUUCAAGUAUGAUGCAAUGAAAUAUGGUUCUUGUUUUCUUCACCCAUAAAAUUAAAAGGUGGAAUUGAAUAAAUUUUUAUGUUCCCUUCUGUUCUGAUUUAAACACCCACUUUCUGGAAAUAUAAACAUCACUUAAAAAUUCUUAAGGAAAAAAGCAAUGUUGAGUGCCCUGACCAGCCCUCCUGAGUUUGAGACAUUUUCGUCAGUCUCCAUGGAGCUGCAGACAUGGGGCAUAGUGAUUUCACCUUCUUCUCCAGAGAAAUAACUAAAACACCCUGAAAGUCCAAAUAACCUAGAGAUACAGCCAGCUGUAGCUUCUGCCCAGAUCCACCCCUCACAGGCCCAGUGAGUGUUCAUAACCCAUCAUCUUCAUUCUGAGACCUUCCUGCAUCUUUACUUCACACACUUGCUCAUUCAUUAAUUCAUUUUCCUUUCCUUCUCUUCCUCAUUUCCUUUCCUCUUCCUUCUCCCCUCUUUUCACCAAUCCUCUCUUCCUUAUUUCUCUAAGAAGCAGGUGAGAUCAGAUGCUCAGAGGUGGGCUGGAUUUAGAUGGAUAUGCACCCUACUUUUUCUGCACAGGAUGGUAGGACUCUUGCUAAAUGUUUCAUAGGAUCUGAAACUCCCCUUUCUCAUCUACAGACUAUUCCAUCCUCCCUGUUUUUUUGUCAGAGAUUCACAGAUGCUUCAUUUCACAGAAAACCUGGGCCAAAAGGGGGGCUCAGUGACUCACCUAAAAUCUCCCAGCUGCUUAUAGCAUAAUCAUCAUCCCUGAAUACAGCUUGAAAAAUCUCUACAUCACAGACUAUGUUAAAAGAUAAACACAUUCAAAUUUUAGAGAGUUUGCGUAGUCAACACUUCAUGAAUCAGGUGGCUUCAGACUGCAAAUGGUUCAGCCCUCUGAGAUCAAGGGCAAGGAGGGAGGAGAACUUUUAUAAGGUGUUUGUGGAAAUGAGAAAAGGAAAACGUGUAGUUGGUAAAAAGUGGAAAGGUCCUUGUUAGAGGUUGGUUGGAAGUUUUUAACUGAUUCAGCUUAAGCUUCAUUUUGCUGUUUACAUUGGGUUUUGGUUUGCUGACACAGAGACCCAAGGUAUUGGAGCCAUCUCAACUUAAUGAAAUCCCAGUUAGUUUUUUUAAGAGCUAAAAAGCAUUUUGAAACUCUUACUGUUCAUUUACAGGUUAAUCUUUAGACAAACUCUAAAGCUAAGUUCAAAGUCUUCUUUGUAAUCCUAGGAAAAGAAAUAAAAGCCAAACCCGGCAAUUUCUGAGCAUUGGUCAGAGAACAAAAUACUAGGAGAAGGUUGACUACAGGCCUAACAGAUUUUUAUUUUAAAAUCCUUUUUCUUUUUUUAUUAAUUAAUUUAUUUUAAUUAGGUAUAUAUAUAUAUAUGACAGCAGAAUGCAUUUUGAUUCAUUGUACACAAUUGCAGCACAACUUUUCAUUACUCCAGUUGUACACGAUGUAGCAUCACACCAUAUGUGCAGUCAUACAUGUACUGAGGGUAAUUAUGUCCAUCUCAUUCCACCAUCUUUCCUGCCCCUCGUGCACUCUCCCACCCACCCUGCCCUUUGCCCAAUCAAAGUUUCUCCAUUUUCCCCAUGCCCCCUCCUCUCCAUUAUGGAUCAGCAUCCACUUAUCAGAGAGAAUAUUCAGCCUUUGUUUUUUGGGGAUUGGCUUACUUGGCUUAGCAUGAUAUUCUCCACCUCCAUCCAUUUACCUGCAAAUGCCAUAAUUUUAUUCUCUUUUAAUGCUGAGUAAUAUUCCAUUGUGUAUUGUGCACCACAGUUUCUUUAUCCACUCAUCUAUUGAAGGGCACUUAGGUUGCUUCCACAAUUUAGUUAUUGUGAAUUGAGAUGCUAUGAACAUUGAUGUGACUGCUUUACUAUAGUAUGCUGAUUUUAAGUCCUUUGGGUAUAGACCAAGGAGCGGGAUAGCUGGGUCAAAUGGUGGUUCCAUUCUAAGUUUUCUAAGGAAUCUCCAUACUGCUUUCCAGAUUGGUUGCACCUAUUUGCAGUCCCACCAGUAUGAAUAUGCCUUUCCUCCCACAUUCUUGUCAACAUUUAUUGUUGUCUGUAUUCUUGAUAACUGCCAUUCUGGCAUGAGAUAAAAUCUUAGAGUAGUUUUGAUUUGCAUUUCUCUAAUUGCUAGAGAUGUUGAACAUUUUUUCAUGUAUUUGUUGAUUGAAUAUGUAUCUUCUUUUGAGAAGUGUUUGUUCAGCUCCUUAGCCCAUUUAUUGAUUGGGUUGUUUGUUUUUUUGGUUUAAGUUUUUUGAGUUCUUUAUAUAUCAUGGAGAUUAGUGCUGUAGCUGAUGUGUGUGUGGCAAAACUUGCUCCUAAAAUAUAGGCUCUCUGUUUACCUCAUUGAUUGUUUCUUUUAUUGAGAAGAAGUUGAGUCCAUCCCAUUUUUUAAUUCUUGAUUUUAUUUCUUGCACUUUAGGAGUUUUGUUGAGGAAGUUGGAGCCUAAUCCAAUGUGAUGAAGAUUUGGGCAUACUUUUUCCUCUAUUAGGUGCAGGGUCUCUGAAUUAAUUCCUAAGUCCUUGAUCCACUUUGAGUUGAGUUUUGUGCAUGGUGAGAGAUAGGGGUUUAGUUUCAUUUUGCUACAUAUGGAUUUCCAGUUCUCCCAGCACCAUUUGUUGAAAAGGUUAUCUUUUCUUCAAUGUAUGUUUUUGGCGCCUUUGUCUAGUAUGAGAUAUCUGAAUUUAUGUGGGUUUGUCUCUGUGUCCUAUGUUCUGUACUAUUGGUCUACAUGCCUAUAUUGGUUCUUAACUAAUCCAGACCAGUGAAAUGCUAUCUAGAAUAGAUAUGCAAUUAUACUGGAUUUCUUAACUCUACUUUUAAAAAUAUUGGUUUGAUACUGUCUUUUAAAAAUUAUAUUUGGGGGUUGGGGGAAGUAGCUCAAUGGUGGAGCAUUUACCUAGUGUGUGUAAGAAUCAGGGUUCAAUUAACACUGCAAAAUCCUCCAUACACCAUCUAUAUACUUCCUGGGGGGAGAAAGCACUGUCCCUUUAAAAAACUACUAACAAGCUCUUCAAUGUUAUCCUUUGUUUUCAUUUUAACUAAGACUCUUUGGAGAAACUUAUAUGGAACCAGCCAAGGUCACUGAAUCAUCCUGACUCAUUCUUUUGGAUGACAGAGUAAACUUUGAUGUUUAUAAUAGGAAAUCCUGUGCCCAGAAGCACUGGUCAUCUUUCUUUAGGAACACGUGAUUCAGGACCUCAAGUGAGCAUGCUGAACACAUCUUUCUUUUUGAACAUGUGAUUUAUGACCUUAAACUGAGCAUGCUCAGGAAUGUGCCCACUCCCAGAAGUGCUUUCCUAUAUGAAUAUGUAUAGGUUUCUCAAUAAAAUCCCCUUGUGUUCUUUGUUUGAGGUCAGCACUCCUUUGAAAAUUAACUCUGCACUUUCUCUUUUCUUUUAUAUUCUGGGUUGUGCUCAUUGACUUUGUCCUUACCAAAAGAAGAACUCGAUGCAUUCAAUUACAUAUUGAGUGAAUCACAUACUUCUCUAUUCUUGUACAUUUAUAAACAUUAACAUUAAAUAUAACCACUACAUAGAAAUAUUGAGUCAAAUUAGUAGGUUUUUUUUUUAGAAAAAAUACUGAUUUUUCUUUUGGCAUGAAUGCCCAAAUGAAUAAAUAGGAAGGCUUCCCCUCUUGCUGCCUGUUUGGGUGACUGAACUACACACCAAAAUAAUAUCAUCAUAAAAAGCAGGUGAUGAGCCAGUGUGACAAGACUGUUGAGAGAGGGGCAGACUUUUGCUUAAAAUUCUCCAUGUGUGGCAGGAAGAAGCAGGAUCUCUGAGUCAGUUCAGUCUGGCUUCUACAGUAAAUUAGAAAAAUCAUCCUAAAUAGGAUCUAUAACAAGCAUAGAGACUCAGGCAGGUCAAACAGUAGAGUUGAAACUCAGUACAUCAGCCAUUUAGAAAAGGGAUGGGCUUUGAGCAUUUGUCCUGAGUCUAUAAAAAGGGUAAUUACUUUGGCAAGUAGUUCAUUUUCUGUCCCAUAAAGGCAGCUGUAGAUGAGUUAUGAAUAAAUGAUGUCUCAUAAUUCAUUAAAAACUAGAGGGUGCAAGUUUUAAGGAAGCUUGAGUUUUAAGGAGAACCUUCAAAAUUCUAGACAGGUUAUAGAGGACCAGGAGAGCAUAAGUUCUUCCCAUAACAUGACAUCAAAAUAGCCCAAAGAGGACAUUUUCCUUCAAACAAUGCAGACUCUCCCAGUGCCCAUCUCUGAGAUACUGAGGCAGUGUGAAGACACCCCCCACGCCCUCCCCUCACCCCGCUCCUUCAAACCUCAAUUCUUACGAUCAGGUCAGAAAGAUUUCAGACAUGUGGCUCAGAGUAAAAGGCAAUGACUUUAUUACACGGGAUAGGAAAGGGGAAAGGGGGACAGACACUCUCAAGGGAGAGAGUGGCUCCUCUCAGAGAGAAGAGGAACAGCAUGCCUCUCCUGCACUCCAGUUUUACUAGGACUCCAGAGAAUUUUUCAGAGAGUCCUGCCCAGGUUCACCCCUUGACAUUGACUGACAGAAGGAUGACAUCACACUUUUUUUUUUUAAACUGGGGACUGAACCCAGGGGUACUUAACUACAGAGUCACAUCCCUAGCCCUUUUUAUAGUUUACUUGAGACAGGGUCUCGCUGAGUUAUUUAAGGUCUUGCUAAGUUGUUGAUGCUGGAUUUCAACUCACGAUCUUCCUGCUUCAGCCCCCAAGAGGCUGGGAUUAUAGACUUGCGCCACCAUGCCCAUCUUGACAUAAGACUCUCAAGUUCCCAUUUUCACGAUCACUCUAGGUCACCUUGACCCAUGUUGACUGGUUCUAAUUGGAUUCUUAAUCAUAAAUUCUUACAGAUUUGAUGGUUAGAAUUAUCCUGGUCUCCCUGAGUUUGGGGAUCUGGUCUGUGGAAAGGGUCACAAAAGUCUCCCCCUUCAGAGUAACUUUGGGUUCCUCUUAGUGACAUUGUUUUGGGGCCUGCAUUGCUCCUAUGGAUAACAGGAAGUUUGCUGAGAAAUGUGGCAGAUUCUGUCCACUUAAGUCAGGAAGGGCUGCAGGUAAAUUGCUUCUUGGAAAAGAAAGCAUGUGGAAGUCAGCAUGUGAUAGAAUUAUUCUCUUAACCUCAUGUGCCCAACACUUGCAUCUGUCUGUCCCUUAACACAUCUGUUCCCUAACAUAUUGUUGGGUAUUGUCCUUCAGGCACAGGCAGAACACUGAGCUCUGAAUCUGAAGAAUGAAAUUCAAGUUAUUCUCCAGGCAGAUUACUUAAUAUCCUGAGCCUCAGUUUCUGCACUGCAAUUGGGAUAAUGUUAGUACCUGACUCAGAGUGGUUGUGAAUAUUGCCUGUCUUAUGCAUUCAAUAAUGCAGAAUUUGAGACUGAAGUUGUAGGGAAAUUUUAAACCGACUCUUUGCCCUCUGUGUAAGGGCAUGGCCCAUAGAUGAUGAAGGCGGGAGAUGGGAAGCAAACCUCAGAUAGGCAAGCUUUUUUUUUUUUUUUUAUCCUGCAUUAAAGUCAAUCAAUCAGGCACGGGAGGGCUCAUAUUCUGGGUAUGGAAAAUUACCCCUGGAUUACCGAAGGAGUUUGGGGUUCAUAGUUUACAGUGAUGGUGACUUAAUCAUUGGAAACUGCGAACCUGCAGUUGGGAUGGUCAGGGAACUGGUUGUGCAGGUUAAAAUUUUAACUGAGGAGGGCAGUUGUAAAAAGCUUGAAACUCACUGUUACUGGAAAAAGCUCACAACUCAGUGUUCACUGCUUAUCUUCCUUUCUCUGGGACCCACUGUUAUCUAGAGCUUCAGUAUUUGCUUUUCUCCUUCCAGGACUCAUAUGCAAUGGGAAAGGGUAAAAGCUCAGGGCCCAGCAUUUCAGUAUUUGCCUCUCCCUUCAGGAUCCAUUGUGGUUGGGAAGGGGUAAAUGUUUGCUUUUGGUGGAGCUGCUGGGGAUGAACCCCCGGAAGGGAUGAAAGUUUGCUUUUUCCUCUGGGCCCAUUGUUACUGAGCCACACAGUUCCUCCUUUUUCUUGGGGGACUGUCUUGUAGGAAUAUUAUUUUCCAUAACAACUAAUUGCAUCUAUGAAAUAAACUGACGAUGGACAGAUAACAGGAAGAAGAACAUACAAAUUUUAUUACCUGCACGAGGCAUAGGAUUAGACUCAAAGAAGGACAAGAUGACUGACAUAUAUAGAUUUUAAAGGAUUGAACUUGGGCUUCUAGGAGGAAGAGUGUGGCACAGGCUAUGGAAAGUCUCAGGGAGGAUGUAUACACAAGCCAGGGUUAUCUUGUUAUGCAAAUGCAGUCUCCCAGGUAACAGUCACCUGUGGUCCUGUGGCCAUCUCAGUCUAGGUCAGGUGUGGGAACUCCUAAUGUCUUCUGGUAUAAAGACCCCUCUCAGAAAAGGGGAGGUGGAUAUCAGCUAGAAAUGCCUCUGUCUGCUGCAUCUAUUUACUAUCUAAGAUGUAAAUUUCAUUUACAAAAGGACAGCUUUUCAUAGCCUUUCCUGUUGCUACAGAGUCUGAUGUUUGAAUAAUCAACUGGAUGGGAUUUUAUUUUUUUCCCUCAGUGCUGGGGAUCAAACUCUGCACAUGCUAAACAGGCACUCUGCCACUGAGCUAUAGCCAAGUCCCCUGGGAUGGCAUAUUUUAAUGUCCUACAAAGAAGUACUUUGGGGAAAGUGCUGAGGAUGAAUUAAAGCACCCUACCUAGCCUUUCAGGAAUUCAAAUCUUUCUUCUCCAGAGCUCUCCCUGGUCCAACUGCAUCCAUAUGUAAGGGACUAGAGCUCAAGCAUCGUAUCUUUUACAAGAUUCCCAGAUGAGCUCAGGGCUCAGGAUUGCUGGUGUAGGCAGAAUGGUUAGUAUUCAAUGGAGAGUAACACUAAAUAUAAGCUGAGAAUCCUUUAUCUGAAGUGUUUGGGUCCAGAAGUGUUACAGAUUUUGAAUUUUUUCAGCUUUUGGAAUAUUUGCAUGUAUAUAAUGAGAUAUCUUGGGGAUAGGACCCAAGUCUAAACACAAAUUCAUUAUGCUUCUUGUGUGCCUUUCAUAUAUAGCCUGAAGGUAAUUUUACACAAUGUUUUUCAUAUUUUGUGUGCAAAACAGUUUCAUAUUGUAGAAUUUUUCCAAUUAUAGUAUCAUAUUCAUGCUCAAAAUGUUUCAGAUUUUGGAGCAUUUUGGAUUUUGUUCCUUGGAUUAGGUGGUGCUCAGUCUAGAUGGAAACAAAAUGAGAUAGGGGAGAGACAGAUGCAAGUGGUAGGCACAUAAGGUUAAGAGAAUAAUUCUAUCAAAUGGGCCACUGUGCCGACCUCCCCAUGCUUUCUUUUCCAAGAAAUGAUUUACCUGCAGCCCUGCCUGGCCUAAGUGAACAGGUUAUGUCACAUUCCUCGGCAAACUACCUGUUAUCUGCGGGAAAAAUUCAGAUCCAAACUAAUGUCACUAAGAGGACCCAAAUUACUCUGAAGGGGGAGACUUUUGUGGCCCUUUUCACAGACCAGAUCCCCAAAAUCAGGGAGAUAAGAAUAAUUCCUUUUAACUAUCAAAUCUGUAAGAAUUUAUGAUUAAGAAUCCUAUUACAACCAGUCAGCAAUGGGUCAAGGUGACCUCGAGUGGUCAUGGCAGUGGGGACUUGAAUGUCUGAUGUCAUCCUGCUGUUAGUCAAAAGUCAAGAGAUGGAUGUGGGCAGGACUCUCUGGAAAUUUCUCUGGGAUCCCGAAUACAUCUGGAGUGCAGGAAAGGCACAGUGUCCUGCACUUCUCUGAGAGGACCCACUCUCUCCUUGAAAGUGUUUCCUUUUCCUCUUUCCCAUCCUGUGUAAUAAACUCAUUGCCUGUUACUCCAAACAACAUGUCUGAAAUCUUUCUGACUUAAUCAUAAGAAUCGGGGUUUGAAGAGGUGGGGGGUUCUUCACACUGCCUCAGUUUCUUAGAAGGCCCCUGCACUGUAAUAAUAUUACAGACACAAGGUAGAUUUUUUUGGAUGAGGAAGAGUUUUCCAGGUGAUUGGAAGUGAGGUCAGUGGCAGAACUGUGUUACUGGCAGGCAAGCCAGGGCCUGGAUAUGAAAUGGCUGGAUUUGAAAUGGUCACCUGCCCACAUAAGAUGUACACAAACAAUAUAAAAAGGAAUAAUGAGCUUAACGCAGUUUGGCCAAAACUGGGAAGAAGUAGCUAGUCUGUCCACUCUGGUCUGUAUAGAUGUAGUUACAGUUUAUAAACAGAAACCAGGAGAUAAACAUAUAUACAUUUAGCUAAGCUAUACUAGUCACAGAACAUUUCACAAUUUCUCUUUUCAACCUCUGCUGGGAUUUUGGGGUAGUUUCUCAGCUUCUGUUCAGGUGGAGAAAAUAAAAAUCACCAAGUUGGAGGAAAAAAUAUUUCAGGGCUUUUAAUUUCAAAGGGGCUCUAUUACGCAUGUGCUCAUCAUGGGAAAGGCCCUGGGUUCAAUCCCUGGCACCACAAUAAAUAGAUAGAUAGAUAGAUAGAUAGAUAGAUAGAUAGAUGAUAGGUUUGCCAACAGAGGGAACCCAACAAGGCGGGUGCAUAGAGUCUUAAGAGUGCAGAAUGGUUGAAGCACGAGGAUGCAUUCACCUGGGCUGGAGAGGGGAGUUAGAGGUGCUGGUGAAGGCAUAAUUAUAGGGCACAGUAGUCUUUUUCUCUCAUAAAAGCAAAAGUCCCCAUGGGCUUUAAUAUUUAUAUGCUAAGAUUUGUCUGAUUCUAGAAAAAGGGCACAAACUUGCAAUCAUCCAGAUGACAGGGCAUACAGAAGAGACCCACACAUGUGAGGAUUUAUUGUUCCCAUUUCACCCUGCUCAGAUUCUUUCAUUGUCAGGAGACACAAAAGACUCUAAGGACAGUCUUCUUUUCAAAAGCCAGAGCAUCUGCAGGAAGCUGACCCCAGGCAGGCCUCCUCCUUGACAGCUUCUGUUCCAGAUCUUUCCUUCUUCUUCUUUACUCCUAAGAAAGUAAUGAUCCAUGCCUCUAACUCUGGAGCUUUUUUGGGUGGAGUGGAUUUGGUGACAUGGCCAUGAACCAAAGAAAGUAUCCUGAUAGUAGCAAUUUUGAGUACCUGUAUUCAUAAUUUUUUGAAAUUGCAGCUUUCUGUUUGAUUUUAUUGUUGCUGUCGUUGUGUUUCACCAAAUUCUGCGCCACUACCAAGACUUGAAUAAUAAUUCAACCACUAUUCCUAUGACUGCCUGGUGUUUUAUGUUCCCUGUAAGUUUUAGCAACAGUGGUCCAAUUUGAGGUUGAAGCUUAUCACACAGACUGGGAUGGACCUCUCUGCGCCUCCUAGUGGUGACAUCCUUACCAAACCCCCAACACUAAUCCAAACACUGGGCCAGCUCUCUGAAAUGUCUUUGCUUUUUCUGUCUGGGCAGAAAAACUCAUGCUCUUCAGAGAAGUUCAGAAGUUAGGGCCACACAUUUAAAAAUUGACUGUGUGAGUUCUAUUCUUGCCUGGAUUACUUAUUAGCUAUGUUAACCUUGAGCAAGUUCAUUAACCUCUUUAUACACUAGUUUCUUCAUCUACAAAUAUGAUAAAAAAUAAUUUCUGUCUCACAGCAGUGUGAUUAAGACAGAGUGAGCUACUAGUUGUAAACAACUUAGAGCAAUGCCUGGAACUCAGCCAACAAUGAAUGUUUGGUUCUGUCAUUUUUCAAAUCCUGGCUCUAAUGCCCUUCCUCUGUAAGUUUCAACAAAACUGUGACGAACGGCCAUUCUGUUAUUUCCUACCAUUUGUACUGCAAUUAUUUAUGUACAUGCUUCUCUCUGUGAAUUCCCUGAAGAUAGGACUUGUCUUAUUAUCUGGCAUAGGUCUGAGAUAUGACAAUUCUACUGUUUUGGGGCAUGAAUGUGACUUAGUUUAAUUAAUUUAAUUAAAUAAAGACAAACACAGCAAAGACAUUUUUAGUGGUCAACAGUAAUCUUUUACUGUAUUUUAAAGCCAUGAUAUAAUUCUUUCAUACGUUGAAAAGGACUUAGACAGACAAAGACAUUUCAAUAACUUUAUUUUUUUGCCAUUAAAAUUUUAGCCUUACUUGUGGCAUUUUCUUGCUGCAAAUCUUAUAAAAUAUUUAGUUUCCUAAGCAUCUUGAAGUUUAGUCCUCAUAAAGAAAUUUCUGUCUGGAAAUGUCAGGCAUAAUAUAUUAUUAACUCCUGUUUCUUGUAUGUUGAUAGUGAUAAUACUGCCUUUCUGAUUGAGAAUUGAAAAGCAAAUACAAGGUAGAUAUUGAAAUAGACAAAUUACUUUUAAAGUUGAGGUAUGGGAUGCAUUAUGGAAUCAUUCCCAACUUUAGAGAAUGCUUCACGAGAUCUGAUGCACAGAAUGAUUUCAGCUCUCAGGGCCCUUGCUGUUUCCUCUGCCUGAGGUCCACCUGCCAAUGUCCUAUUAUGAUUUGGUUCUGAAAUGUUCCAUGAAAAGUUCAUGUUUUGAAACUAUGAUUUCCCAAUACAGCAAGGUUCAGAGGUGAAGCUUUGAAGCACUGAUUAGGACUCUGACCUUAUCAGUGGAUUAAUCCACAUUUGUUGGAUUAAUCCAUUAAUAGCUUAAUGGACAACUGAAUGGUAAUUAUAAGCAAAUGGGGCAUGGCUAGACAAAGUAUACCAUUGGGGGUGUACCCUUAGGCACUAUAUCUUGUUUCCUUCUGGCUCUUGGUGCAGUCCCUCUAUCUUUUUUUCUCUCUCAGUUUCCAUGAACUGGGUAGCUUUCUUCCACCAUGCCCUUCCACUAAGAUGUUAUCUGUCACCUCAGGCUCACUGCAGUGGAAUGAGCCAACUAUGGACUGAGACUUCUGAAACCAUGAUCAGAAAAUAAAUGUUUUCUCUUUUUAGUUGUACUUGUCAGUAUUCUGGCCACAGAGACAAAAAACUAACACAUGCCCUCACUUUCUAUAAGCCUUUGCUUAAAUCUCAACACUUCAUCUUUCAACCUACCUCUUCUUCCUCAGGCAUUCCUGAAAACCCUUAUGCUAUGCUUUCUUUUUUUAUUGCACUUAUCACCCUCUUUUUUAUUGCACUUAUCACUCUCUCAUAAUCUAAAUAAUUUAACUACUGAUGUUUAUUUUUGUUCUCACCCUACAAGGAUAUAAGCUUAUGAGGGCAGGAGUUUUUAUUAUAUAUUUAAAGGUAUAGGGCAAGUGUCAAGAGCACUUCUGGGCAUACUGAAGGUCAUUAAUAAAUAUUCUUUGUGUCAAAAGACAAAAUUACAAUGAAUUUAGAUUAAAGAUCUAACUGGCUUUUACUUUUGAUUCUAGAAGCAGACAGCAAACACCUCAUUGAAUAAAAAUAGAAUGGUUUCAAUGAGCUGAACAUAUGAAGUUGGUUUUUGUUUUAGUCAGCUUUCCACUCCUGUGACAAAAUACUUGAAAGAAUUAAUUUAAAAAGGAAAGAUGUAUGUUGGCUCAAAGUUUCAGAGGCUUUAGUUCAUCACACAUCCAGCACAUGAUGUACUUGUACUGCCUGGCCCCAUCAUUUUGGGCUGGUGGCAGUAUAGUACAUCAUGGCAGGAACACAUAUCAGAGAAAGGCUGAUUUUAUAGUACCUGGGGAGCAAAAAGAGAGAAAAAGAGGCUGGAGCCCAAAUGUCCCCUCCAAGGGUAUGCCCCCAAUGACCUGAGUUCCUCCCAGAAGGCCCCACUUCCUAAAGUUCUAUCAUUUCAAAUUAUGCCACUGGUUGGUGAUCAAUUCUUUAGCAUUUGGGCCUUUGUGGAGCAUUUAAGAUCAAACAUUUAAGACUGAAUAGCUUUACAAACAGAACGGGCUAAAGAAAGCAGAAAUAGGGAAUAAAAACAGAUUGGUCAUUUCAAACUUUCCACUUAUAGUUAAAACAGAGGGUUCCUUCUUAGUAUGCUAAUUUAGGAUGACUGUAAUCUCCUUUUUUUUUUUUUUUUUUUGGUUUUAAAGAAAACUAGUCCUUUUCAAAGGGGUUGAUUACAUGGCACUUAAUACAAGUGACUCCAUCCUGGGAAAAUAACAAAUUUCCCCCUUUGUGUCAUAGUUUCACUAGGUGACAGAGCAGACAAUAAAGAUUAAGUUGUUAAAUUAUAUAGACUAUGAGAAGGUAAUAAAGUGAUAUAAAAAAGAAAAAGUAGAAAGGGCAAAGGGGACUAAGUUUGCCUGAGGAGGAUGUGGAGGUUGUAACAUGAAGAAGUGUGAGAUCUGAGCAGACCUGUAGGAAGGAAGGGCAUUAGUCAUCUGAGAGGGGGAGGGGGAUCAUUUAGCAUUUGGCAGAUGGCUACAUGUAGACAAUUAGGACUUUUUGAGAAGACACAGUAUAUCAGGAAGACUACAAUUAUGAUGAUCAGAAGGACAAUACCAGGAAUUUAGGGUAUGCUCCACAGAGUCCCCAUGAACCAAACCAAUUAAAUUCAAAUGAUCAAAGAAUGAGCUAGAUGUGAAAUCUACUCAUUUUACCCAAGCAGUCUGUUUGCUAUUUUUUUCCCCAACUGAUUCUAUUUGUCUGUGUGCAACAAGAAGUGUUAGCAAUGGCACAGACUUUUCCCUGUGGGUAGCAAGUCUAUUAUUUAAUCUCUCACGACUGAAUUGAAUUAAACCAGGAAGUGAGAACAAGUGGAUCUAAAAAUGUGACUGUAUGAAAGAGAUUGCUGGCACAAUUUGAACUAACAGUUACAUUGGAGAUAGUGUUCAAAUCAGCCCUGGGUAGACGGCAGGGUCCCUUAGAUCAUGUUAAGAUAUGGGUUUGACAUCACAGAUCCAAGAAUCUGUCAAAGCCACCUGCAGAAGUUACUGAUGGUGAAAUUUUAAUUAUAGCAUCACCCUGCCAAGCAAAAGAGAUUGAUAUAAACAAGGAAACAAUACAAAGAGUAAAAGUCUCAUUACUUAAGACUUGUUCUGAUGUCCUGGGAAAAGCUGUUCAUAGUAUGAGAUUGUUAUCUUCUCAUGCUGGUUUGCGAUUUUUAGUUUCUUGUUAUGGUAUCAGGCUUUUUAAUUUUUUUAAAAAAAUUUUUUAGUUGUAAAAAUGGACACAAUACCUUUAUUUUUAUUUAUUUAUUUUUUAUGUAGUGCUGAGGAUCAAACCCAGGGCCCUGCACGUGCUAGGUGAGCACUCUACUGCUGAGCCACAACCCCAGCCUGGUAUCAGGCUUUUUGAUGAACUCUCUGAGCAACCCUCAUGUCAGGCACAAGGUUUGUCCCCUAAUAUUUACAUUGAGUAGUCUAGCUGCAGCUUAUAGGGCCUCCGGAACAGGGCAGUUCUUGUUUUUACUUGGAGAGUCAGCCAGAUAUUGGAGAAAACUAGAAGAAUUCAAGAUCCAGUCCAGUCCUCAGGUAGAUAAUAAAAAUUUGAUUACAAUGAAUAGGGUUACCAUCUAAUAACAGAUGUUAUUAGUAUUUUCUCCUACAAUCACAGGAUGAAUUUGCAAAUCACAGGAUGAAUUAGCCUCAUCAAACUUAGCAUGAUUAUUUACAUUAGUUCAGCAAGAACAGUGAUUGACCUGUGACUCCCUUUUAAGUUUGCUUUGCUGAAACUUUUAUAAGGAAUCUUAGAUUGGACUUUUAUACAUUUUUCCUGGUGAGGAAGCCAAAUCAAGGAAUUGCUAUAAUAUUGUGCCUUUGAAAUCUGCAUAUUUGUAUAAAUUCUCUUCUCAAGGUCCCCAAACUAUCAUGACUUCCUGGACCUGCCAGGAACUGACAUUCUUUAUUCACUGCAAGGCUGGGAACCCUAUAGGGAAACCAGAUAUUCAAACCAGGCCAGUUUUUCCAAGAAGGGUUCAAUGGCUUCAUAAAUUCAGCCUUGGUUCCUUAAUACUAUCCUGUAAAAUAUGAUAUUUCAGUAAAGGUCCUGGUAACAUAGACAGUAUAAUGUCCUUAUAAAAAAAGUCUUACUGAAUUUAUACAAAUAACUAUAUUGCAAUAAAAUAAGAACACUCCUGAAUUGUUUCAAAAUUCUAGAGGGAUUAGAUAGGAAGAAAAAAUAUUUCAAAUCUAUUCACAAAGCAUUAUUUAGCAAAUUGCUGUAAGCUAAAGAUUAUAUAGGAGAAAAAAUUUCCUUCAAUCUAGAAAUAAAACAUUUAAGGAAUGAACAAUUUUUCAAAUAAAAAAAUCAUAAAAAUUAAUCCUUGGAUUAAUAGUAUAGUUCAGGAAUAGAGCACUUGCCUAACAUGUGCAAUGUCCUGGAUUUGAUCCUCAGCAACACUAAUAAUAACAACAAUAAUCCUCAAUUAUCUCAUAUUCUCAUUUAAUUAAUUGUUCUGUUUGAUUCUGGUUAGCAUUUUCAUCACUAGAUUUUUUGAAAUUCUUACCAAGUCCAAUGACAUGAUCAUAAGUUAUCAGAAACCUGUACUUAUUAGAGUGCUUUUCAUGCAUUUCCUUGAAAAUGAAAGCCCUUGAGUAUUAUAGUUACUUGGAAAAGCUCUCAUAAAAGCAUCAGAGUAAAGCAACUGUCUUGGAUGACAAGACUUCAAAUGGCCAUGGUUAAAACUCAGUGAGAAUUCAUUGUACUCAGUAGUUAACAAGGAAAUUUGGCUAUUUCUGUGGCAUAUAAAAUUUUACCAUAAUAACAGAAAUUAUUAUUGGUAGCAUAUCAUAUGUCUAGGAAUUUUAUUUAGUUUCUAGAACACAUAUCAGGAGCAUAUCUAUACAAAUACAUCAUAAAAAAGGUUAAGUGUCGUUUGUUAUUUGACAGUGUUCCCCAAAUCAUUUAACAUAUUAAGUCAGCCUUAUUAGUUUACUAUCUCCUUUUUUACAGACCUUUUCAUAUGUUCCAAGAACCCUCUGUAAUGUCCCAAAGUUAGUUUGAGGUCAUAAAGACUUAAUUUAGAAUUUGACUUUAGGAAGUUUGCCAAACACAUCAAAUGAUUUCAGAACAUUUGAUUAAAUAUGAUCAUUGAUCAUUAUGAAACAAUAAAAGGAAAACAAACGUUACGUAAUUGGAAAAAAAUAUUUACAGAAGACUUAGUUUUCUAAAGUAAUCAAAUGAGCUCAUAAAAGACAAAGCACAAGAAAUUAUCUUGAUAAACUGGGCCUAGUGGCACACUCUUGUAAUCCCAGUGACUUAGGAGACUGAUGCAGGAAGACUGUAAGUUCAAAGCCAGACUCAGCAACUUAGUGAGGCCCUAAGCAAUUUAGCAAGACCCUGUCUCAAAAUAAAACAUAUUAAGGGCUGGGGAUGUGGCUCCGAGAUUAAGCGCCCCUGGGUUCAAUUCCUGGUUAAAAAACAACAACAACAACAACAAAAAAAACACAAAACAAAAAUAAAUAAAUAAAAUAAAAGAAAUAAAGAAAGAGAAAAAAUUUAUCUUGAUAAAAUUCAGAAUUUCUUCUUUUUUCCUUUCCUUAGGCAGAUUACUUACAGGACAAAGAAAACCUUUCAUAGUCUCUGGUUAGCACUCCCAAGAAAAACAUUUUUUUUUUUUGUUUGGUUUGGUUUGGUUUAAAAAAAAUGGUCAAAUACUAGUAUUCUAGUUUUGCAUCAAUGUUCUUUUGAUAUCAAUGCUUAUGUUUAAAAAGCUCUUAUAAUAUGUUUAAUAAAUGUGUUGCUUGGUAGCAAUUGUUUAAGUUGUUUUUAAGUUUUGUUUUGUUACCAAACAAAAGAAAUUUAGAGGAGGAAAAAUUUAUUUUGGCUCAUGUUUCCUGAUGUUCUGUCCAUGCUUGGCUGAAUUCAUUGCUCUGGGCCCGAGGUAAGGCAGCAUAGCAUGGCAGAAUGGCUUGGUGGAGGAGAGCUGGUCCAUUCACAGCAGCCAGGAAGCAGAGAGAAGACCAGUGCGGGGCGUGAGGAAGAAGCCACAGGGGAGAGACACCUUUUCAGAUCAUGUCCCCAUUGACCCUCCUCCUACAGCCCUGCCUACCUAUGACUACACAGUCCAUUCAAUGAUUAGGUUAUAGCUCUCACAUCUAAUCAUUUUACCUCUGAAUAUUCCUGCUUUAACGCAGGAGCUUUUGGGGGACACCUCAUAUCCAAACCAUAACAAUAAGUUUUAGCCCAUUUAACUAUACAUGGAAUUCUUAUCACUUUCUUCCAUGCACGAAUUUGUCUUUUCUCUUUUCCAUCAUGCAAUGGUCAUUCUACUUUAGGGCAAAAAUUACCCUUUUCCCCUUAACCAAAAUGCAUCCUCAUGCUUUAUGAAUUCUUUUACAAAACAUUACUUAUUUCCCUCACAUACAGUGUUGUUACCCUUAUUAUUUCUUGUUUUAGUUACCAUUUAUUAAUUAGAAAUUGUAAUCCUGUAUUAUUGAAUGAGGCUUGUUUUGCCUGCCAUGCAGUUUACCAGUCACUGAGGUGAUAAGUUUUGUAAAAGAGAAAUAGUUAUUCAUAAAGUGUCCGUAUUUGAGGAGGGACCCAAGUCUCAAAUCCACCUCCCUAAGGACAGGUUGUAGUAGUAUUUAUGUGAUAAAGGAGCAGAGUGGUCUAUGAUAUGGGGACUGGAGGUGUGGAAAGUGAAGUUACCAUUGGUCUGUGCACAUAUUCACACUUCAUGUGUCUUCAUAGGAUGCAUGUUCAGUGUUAGCAUGAUUUGAGAGUGGAGUUUUUAGCUGUCUGGCCUCAAAGUGUCACUCAUCAGAUAUCUGUGCAGGCACAAGUGAAGUGUUUGAUGUCAACUGACUUGAGCUAGACAAGGUUACCUCCAAAUUCCUGAAAAACAACUUAAACAAUUGCUACCAAGGUGACUAUAUAUAUCAAAGAUGUUAUUGAGAGCAAAGCUAAUAGAUGUGUACUUCUCAGCUAGGUGACCUUUAAAAUCAGUGAUAAAAGGAAGUAACUAAAAAAAAGUGAAGCUCCAGGGGUUUAUUUCAGUUUCCCCUCAGUUUCAUGUGACAAUCUGAAUUCCUAGCAAAAACUAUAAGACAUUAUGAAAUGUUUUAUAUCAACAUUUUUUUAGAUGAGCACCGUUAAUAGUUUUAGAAACAUGAUUUUAUCAUAUUACUAUUUUUUUAUUUUAUGAACACAGCCAAAUAUAUUUAGUUUCUUUCUACCAUAUGAAAAUGAGAUGCUAACACACACACACACACACACACACAUAUAUUAAACUUAUGUUCAGUAAUUAAUGCUUUGAUAUUUUUACUUAUUUAGCAAUGACUCAGACGUUUCAAGAAUAUCUAUUAUUUAAUCCAAUAUAACAUGACUUUAAGUUUCAUGCUACUGAAAAAGAUAUUUGAAACUAUGAAAGGUUCAUUUAUAAACUUUGAUCCCAUUUGCAGUCAACUAAUUUACUUAUUUUAUCCUUAACAUUUAUGCUGGAAUUACUCAUUAAGCAAAGCCAACCAUCAGAGGAGUUCAUAAAAUACCAUCUCUAAAUGUUACUUUUAUAUAUCACUUCCUUCCAGCUAAAGGAGCCUGAAAAAUGGCAAAAAAUGCACAACAAAGCUUUCUCUGAAUUCCAAUUCUGAAAAUCCUUCACAAGGAACUCAAUUGUCAUGAAUCCUCUCUUUGAGGAGUCUAUCAACCAGAGAUCAAUUUUUUCAUAGGAGAAUAGACCAGAAAUUAACCAUUGUAAACCUAGGCAAUGGCUGUUGCAUAGGCUGUGAGAAGAAUUCACCAAGACAAAGAGAAGCAGCUAAGAGAGUUUACGGAAGGGACAUAUGCUAUAAGGGUACAGCAGGGACAUGACAGAGAUGUCUGCCCCUGGACUCAAAGGAGAUCUGGACUUAUAUGCACUUUUUAGCUACUGGCAGUUUAUACUAAAUGAGGGAUAAUUGACAGAUUUCUGGGCCUUGCCCAUAAUGUUUAUUGCACAUGAACCAAAUGCUCAUUUCCAGGUCUUAAAUCAGAUGCAUAAGACAUGAGUAAUAUAGAUGAGGUAUUAAACAGGAACUUUCCCUUCUUUGGUUACUUUAGGUCAAACUUGGAGCCUCUGCACACUCUCCUCAGGAUGAGUGGGCAAUCUUUUGAAAAACAGGAUAUUGCUGUUUCCACUUCAGGAAAGUCAGCUCCUCCCACCACAACAGAGUGGGAAGAAAGGGAGGUCCUUAAGCUCUUGUCAGCUCUGCUAAUGGAGGUGGGAUGGGGGCCUGGCACAAGGGUCCCUAACCUAUCCUGCUUUACAUACCAAGACAGACUUGUCAUAACUGUUGUCUGUUCUUUCAAAAACCCAAAAAUUUUUCCUCAAAAUCGUUUAUUUGUAUGUUAUCUCUUUUCUUUGACCUCUAACCAUUUUACCCAUUCCAGCAGGGCAGGUUAAGUCAAAAUAUUAAUCACUAGGCAGGUAUUUUAAGGACAAUCACAGUGCUUGUGGAGAAAUCUGCUGUCCCUUGAAAUGCCUAUUAAUGCUCCUUCAAAUUUGAGUUUCUUGUUUGUUUCCAAGAAACUGAUAAGGAAACAACCAAAAUCAUUUUCUAAGUAACUGUUUUAGUCAGCUUUUUUGCUGCUGUGCCUGAAAGACCUGACAAGAACAAUUUGGAAGGAGGAAAAGUUUAUUUGGAGGAUCAUGGCUUCAGAGGUCCCAGUCCAUAGAAAGCCAGCUCCAUUCCUCAGUGCUCAAGGUGAGACUGAACAUCGUGGUGGAAGAGUGUGGUAGAGGAUAGUGGCUCAGAACAUUGCUAUCAGGAAGCAGAGAGGAACUCCACUUGUCAGAUACAAAAUAUACACCCCAAAGGCAUGCCCCCAAUGAUCCACCUCCUCCAGCCACACCCUACCAUCCUUCAGUUACCACUCAGUUAAUCACUGUAAGAGAAUUAAUUCACUGAUUGGGUUAAGCCUCUGCACAUUCUCCUCUGGAUGAUUGAGCAAUCUUUUGAGAAAGAAAAUAACUCAAUGAUUUCACCUCUAAACUUUCUAGCACUGUCUCACACAUGAAAUUUUGGAGGACAAAAUUUUGGAAAUUUUGGAGGACACCUAACAUCUAAACCAUAGCAGUAACCUGGAGUAAACUUCUUUCUUUAUAAUACUAAAUUGUCUGCCCAAAGGUGUUGCCCUCCUCCAUUUUCUGAACAUAUGAUGUAAGACCUUGAAAGUGAGAAUGCUUAGACAUGUGCCAGCCUCUACCUGUGAUUCCUGUAUGAAUAUGUGUAAGUACAGAGGACAGGUUGUGUCUUUUCUGUGUUACUCCAUUCCUGCCCUGACUAACUCCAUUUAUAAAGCAGCAGUUUCUCCUGAGCUUCUCCAUUUUGAGUGCAAUUGCUAAGGUAAAAUGAUUUAGUAAUUUGUCUGGGCAAGUAGAUAACCAGAUAUUGGACACAUGGAAUUUAUCAAAAAAGAAAAAAAAAAACCCAGCUACUCACACAAUCAUAAGACACAGACUGAUAAAUAACUUAUUUGUGCUAAUAAAAAAUUACCACUGCAAACAUCAAAUUAAAUCAGGAGAACAUAGACACAUGGGCAUAUCAAAUCAUAUCAGAAAAACCAGGCAUGCAAGUUUAUCAAACACAGCAAAUGUAACCUCCUCACCUAAGACCUAUAAAAGGAGAGGCAUCUCAAACAGCACAGGCAGCACCAAUCUGUCAUCUUAUCAGGGACUACCCAGUAUAUGCCUUACAGCUUCUUCCCAGAAGAUUGUCACAGUGACAAACUUCCACCUUUCCCUGGGCUUCAGCUUAACAUGUUUUUUCCUGCCUGUGGUAUUGUUCACUUUGAAACAGAAAUUCAGACCCUCACUUUGACAGCUCUGGGCCUGGAUAGUCUGCUCCUUGACAGCUUUGCUACUGGUUUCUUAACCCCUCAACUGAGACCACCUGUAGUGGCUCUUUGUAUUUUUAUAUUGGUUCUUUAAGUCUUGUGAUCGCCUUAACCCAUUCUCAGACUUUCUGUAACCUGAUAACCACCGCUUUAGUGUGAUGCAUGAUUUGAGCGUUAGCCAUACUAGUAAUUAUGAUAGGAAUGGAAUAAAAGAAAUUUAUGAUGGCCAUGUCAUGAUUACCAUGUGAAACUAGAUUUACUUAAUGAAAUAAAUGUGAUGAAACUGACAUAGCCUGUGAGCUUCUUUUCAAUAAAUUUUGACAUCAUGUAAAGACAAAAACAUGUCUAGUUUAUAUAAACGGCAGAGCUUUCUCAUUACAAUAAGUCCCCCCCCCCAAAAAAAAAAUAAACCUCUUGUUCAUUUUGGAAGGCACUGCUUUGAGAGUAUCUCCAGUUCUCUCCUUACUUGCUGCCAGAUAAUAAAUAUUUCUUUACUCUUUUAUCUCCUGGUGGGAUUAUCAGCUUUCUACUCACAAGUGGGUGAAUCUAUUGUGUUCAGUUACAAUAGGGAACUUUGCUUUUUUCUUGAUUGACCUGUUUGGUUAUUCUCCUAAGUAAUUGUUAGAUCAUGGCAAUCUUGCCUUCUGGAAUUAUUUUAUGUGUUGGGGAUUGAAGGCAAGACCUUAUAUAUAAUAAGCAUGCUCUACCAUGGGGCUAUAUCCCCAGCCCCUACCUUCUGGCUUUAAUUUUUUUUUUUUCAGAUUGAGAUAGAGUGAACUGAUUUGGGACUUUGUAAUAUUGAGGGACUGUCUGAAGAUUCCUCUGGCCCAUCUGACCCUUGGAAGAUGUACCCUUGGUUUUAACUUUUUUUAACCCCAGGUUUUCCAAUCCCAAAGAAAAAAACUUGGAGGAUUCAAUGGUGAGGUUUUGGACAUUUUUUUACUUAAUCACUCCUUGGUGGUAGCUGGCCAGGUUACAAUGGAGAGCUGCACUAUGCCUGCCUGCAGGGUGAAUACGUGGGACAGGUUACAUAUACACUGUGCAGGUGGCUUUCUUCAAAUGUUUUAUAAAUACGUUACUUUACUUUAUAAGCAAGAUACUUUCUCAAGGAUUGGAGAUAAGGGAAGUGGCCAGCUCCACUUCUCCAUUUCCCUUGUUACCACAAUCUCUAGAAAACUUCUUGACUCACCACAAGCUUUCCUAGGGACUGCUUAAUGUUAAUGCAACAUAACCCCAUCAAUGUUUUAUUCAUCCCAUUUUUUUUUUUAUUGUUGGUUGUUCAAAACAUUACAUAGUUCUUGAUAUAUCAUCUUUCACACUUUGCUUCAAGUGAGUUAUGAACUCCCAUUUUUAGCCCAUAUACAGAUUGCAGAAUCACAUCAAUUACACAUCCAUUGAUUUACAUAUUGCCAUACUAGUGUCUGUUGUGUUCUGCUGCCUUUCCUAUCCUCUACUAUCCCCCCUCCUCCCUCCCCUCCCCUCCCCACCCUUCUUCUCUCUCUACCCCCCCUAUUGACCUUCAUUUCUCCCCCUUGUAUUAUUUUUCCCUUUCCCCUCAUUCCCUCUUGUAUGUUCUUUUGUAUAACCCUGAGGGUCUCCUUCCAUUUCCAUGCAAUUUCCCUUUUCUCUCCCUUUCCCUCCCACCUCUCAUCUCUGUUUAAUGUUAAUCUUCUUCUCAUGCUCUUCGUCCCUACUCUGUUCUUAGUUACUCUCCUUAUAUCAAAGGAGACAUUUGGCAUUUGCUUUUUAGGGAUUGGCUAGCUUCACUUAGCAUAAUCUGCUCUAGUGCCAUCCAUUUCCCUGCAAAUUCUAUGAUUUUGUCAUUUUUUAAUGCAGAGUAAUACUCCAUUGUGUAUAAAUGCCACAAUUUUUUAAUCCAUUCGUCUAUUGAAGGGCAUCUGGGUUGGUUCCAAAGUCUUGCUAUUGUGAAUUGAGCUGCUAUGAACAUCGAUGUAGCAGUGUCCCUGUAGCAUGCUCUUUUUAGGUCUUUAGGGAAUAGACCAAGAAGGGGAAUAGCUGGGUCAAAUGGUGGCUCCAUUCCCAGCUUUCCAAGAAAUCUCCAUACUGCUUUCCAAAUUGGCUGCACCAAUUUGCAGUCCCACCAGCAAUGUACAAGUGAACCCUUUUCCCCACAUCCUCGCCAGCACUUGUUGUUGUUUGACUUCAUGAUGGCUGCCAAUCUUACUGGAGUGAGAUGGUAUCUUAGGGUGGUUUUGAUUUGCAUUUCUCUGACUGCUAGAGAUGGUGAGCAUUUUUUCAUGUACUUGUUGAUUGAUUGUAUGUCCUCCUCUGAGAAGUGUCUGUUCAGGUCCUUGGCCCAUUUGUUGAUUGGGUUGUUUGUUCUCUUAUUGUCUAAUUUUUGGAGUUCUUUGUAUACUCUGGAUAUUAGGGCUCUGUCUGAAGUGUGAGGAGUAAAGAUUUGUUCCCAGGAUGUAGGCUCUCUAUUUACCUCUCUUAUUGUUUCUUUAGCUGAGAAAAAACUUUUUAGUUUGAGUAAGUCCCAUUUGUUGAUUCUAGUUAUUAACUUUUGUGCUAUGGGUGUCCUAUUGAGGAAUUUGGAGCCCGACCCCACAGUAUGUAGAUCGUAGCCAACUUUUUCUUCUAUCAGACGGCGUGUCUCUGAUUUGAUAUCAAGCUCCUUGAUCCAUUUUGAAUUCACUUUUGUGCAUGGCGAGAGAAAGGGAUUCAGUUUCAUUUUGUUGCAUAUGGAUUUCCAGUUUUCCCAGCACCAUUUGUUGAAGAUGCUAUCCUUCCUCCAUUGCAUGCUUUUAGCCCCUUUAUCAAAUAUAAGGUAGUUGUAGUUUUGUGGAUUGGUUUCUGUGUCCUCUAUUCUGUACCAUUGGUCCACCCGCCUGUUUUGGUACCAGUACCAUGCUGUUUUUGUUACUAUUGCUCUGUAGUAUAGUUUGAAGUCUGGUAUCGCUAUACCGCCUGAUUCACACUUCCUGCUUAGCAUUGUUUUUGCUAUUCUGGGUCUUUUAUUUUUCCAUAUGAAUUUCAUGAUUGCUUUCUCUAUUUCUACAAGAAAUGCCGUUGGGAUUUUGAUUGGCAUUGCAUUAAACCUAUAGAGAACUUUUGGUAAUAUCGCCAUUUUGAUGAUGUUAGUUCUGCCUAUCCAUGAACAGGGUAUAUUUUUCCAUCUUCUAAGAUCUUCUUCUAUUUCUCUCUUUAGGGUUCUGUAGUUUUCAUUGUAUAAGUCUUUCACCUCUUUUGUUAGGUUGAUUCCCAAGUAUUUUAUUUUUUUUGAAGAUAUUUUGAAUGGAGUGGUUGUCCUCACUUCCAUUUCAGAGGAUUUGUCGCUGAUAUACAGGAAUGCCUUUGAUUUAUGCGUGUUGAUUUUAUAUCCUGCCACUUUGCUGAAUUCAUUUAUUAGCUCUAAUAGUUUCUUUGUAGAGCCUUUUGGGUCUGCUAGGUAUAGAAUCAUAUCAUCUGCAAAUAGUGAUAAUUUAAGUUCUUCUUUUCCUAUUUUUAUGCCUUUAAUUUCUUUCGUCUGUCUAAUUGCUGUGGCCAGUGUUUCGAGAACUAUGUUGAACAGAAGUGGUGAGAGAGGGCAUCCCUGUCUUGUUCCAGAUUUUAGAGGGAAUGCCUUCAAUUUUUCUCCAUUCAGAAUGAUGCUAGCCUGAGGCUUAGCAUAGAUUGCUUUUACAAUAUUGAGGUAUGUUCCUGUUAUCCCUAGUUUUUCUAGAGUUUUGAACAUAAAGGGAUGCUGUACUUUGUCGAAUGCUUUUUCCGCAUCUAUCGCGAUGAUCAUAUGGUUCUUAUUUUUAAGUCUAUUGAUGUGGUGAAUAACAUUUAUUGAUUUCCGUAUAUUGAACCAGCCUUGCAUCCCAGGGAUGAAUCCUACUUGAUCAUGGUGCACAAUUUUUUUGAUAUGUUUUUGUAUCCGAUUCGCCAGAAUUUUAUUGAGGAUUUUUGCAUCUAGGUUCAUUAGAGAUAUUGGUCUGUAGUUUUCUUUCUUUGAAGUGUCUUUGUCUGGUUUAGGUAUCAGGGUGAUGUUGGCCUCGUAGAAUGAAUUUGGAAGUUCUCCCUCUUUUUCUAUUUCCUGAAGUAGCUUGAAAAGUAUUGGUAUUAGUUCCUCUUUAAAGGUUUUGUAAAACUCUGCUGUAUACCCAUCCGGUCCUGGGCUUUUCUUAGUUGGUAGUCUUUUGAUGGUUUCUUCUAUUUCCUCAAUUGAUAUUGGUCUGUUUAGGUUGUCUAUAUCNGACAGGCAUGGUAUUAUCUCUACUCCUUUAUAUUGUCUAAGCGUUGCCCUGUGACAUAAUAUAUGAUCUAUUUUUGAGAAGGAUCCAUGUGCUGCUGAGAAAAAAGUGUAACUGCUUGAUGUUGGGUGGUAUAUUCUAUAUAUGUCAAUUAAGUCUAGGUUAUUAAUUGUGUUAUUGAGUUCUAUAGUUUCCUUAUUCAACUUUUGUUUGGAAGAUCUGUCCAGUGGUGAGAGAGGUGUGUUGAAGUCUCCCAUGAUUAUUGUAUGGUGGUCUAUUAGACUCUUGAACUUGAGAAGAGUUUGUUUGAUGAACAUAGCUGCGCCAUUGUUUGGGGCAUAUAUAUUUAUGAUUGUUAUGUCUUGUUGGUGUAUGGUUCCCUUAAGCAGUAUGUAGUGUCCCUCUUUAUCCCUUUUGAUUAACUUUGGCUUGAAAUCUAUUUUAUUUGAUAUGAGUAUGGACACUCCUGCUUUUUUCCGAAGUCCAUAUGAGUGAUAUGAUUUUUCCCAACCUUUCACCUUCAGCCUAUGUAUGUCUUUUCCUAUCAAAUGCGUCUCCUGUAGGCAGCAUAUUCAUCCCAUUUUUAAUACCAUUUAAAAAUUCUCUGUCUUAUAUUCACUUUUCUAAAUGGUUGACUAUUAGGUAAAAUAUGGUGGAAAUUUUGCAUUUCAAAGACAUAGAACUUAGAUUUUGGCCUUAAUACCACUAUUUGUUUAGAUUAAAAAAAAGGCAUAAGUAAGAAACCCAAUUAAGACAAAAUGUUCAAAUAUGAGACUUGUUUAGACUCAUGUUUUCUCCCAUUUGUAAGAAUUUCUGUUGAAUUUUCUUGAUAGAUAUAAUUUGUUUUUAUAAAUUAGUUUCAAAAUAAUGGAUUAAAUGCCAGAAAUGUAUAUUUUGGAGACAGACUUAGUUCAGUGGGCAGCCUUUUCAAUUUAACCUCUGUUUUUUAACUAAAUGACUAAAUUCAGUGUGUAACCCAUUUAUGAAUAGGGAAAAAAAGCAUUUUUAUGCCUGGACUUAACAUCGACAGCUCUGAACCAGGGUAUAAAGAUAAAGAAGUAGACCUAGUUGACUUGAGGGCUUAGCUUUAUGAACCUGUUAGCUUUCCCUUUGUCUUUGGAGUGGGAUAGUACUAAGUGAAAAGACUGGCAAUCAAUUUUUCUUAUCAAUUAGCCAUUUAAUCUUUUCAUGUGUCUUUUAGGAAGUAUCUUUUAAAAAAAGGCAAUGAUCUUUUAAAAAUCUUUUUAGAAACUUCUACACAGCAGUAGGUGUUCCUGGGUGCACCUAAUUUGGAAGGCCUCAUAUUUAAAUGCACUUCUUAGAUGAACAGUUUUGUUCAUCUGGAUCAUUCUACAUAAUGGUUAUUAUAAUUCUAAAUUAUCUUCAGUAAGAUUUCACCAUUUUUGUAAGUACUGCGUGGUUUCCAGGGCCUAAUGCUAAUACACAUGAAAGACAGGCACAGCUGGAAGUUGGAAUAUUCAGUCCUUCAAAAAUUAAGGAUUCCAUUUUUACAUUGAAUCUUGGACCUUUCAGAGCCACGAUAAAAAUCUAAGUGGGAAAUAUUAUGGGGUUGGACUGUAUAUGUUUUUGAUAGUGUUUCUUUCCUACACAGAAAUUUUUUGAGGGUAGUAGAUAACCUAGUGUCAAAACUGACCUUUCUGUGACCCAGCAUAUCUUAACAGAGGAGUCUUCAUUUUAGCAGUAUUUAGAUGUCUAAUCUGUGACUACUAAUCAAAUUGUAGCUUUGACUCUGAGACCACUUUACCCAACUUAUCUAAUGAUUUUAUCCUAACUGUGCAAGUAAAAAGAGAGAAGAAAACUCAAAUUCCUGAGAAAUUCUAAUAGCUAGAGUCACAUGCCUCCUGCAAGUAACAGCCUCUUACUAUAAAUUCUAUCCCUUAUCUUUAAAACUGCAGCUCUUGCCAGUGCUGAACAGUUUGAUGCAAACCUGAAAAGGUCAGAUGUUAUCUCACAGCAUAACAAAUUCUUGGUACUGUGACCAAACCCAAGUUCAUUUACUCAUGGCUUAAAAUGACCCAAUGAAUGGAGGCCACGUUGUUGUAACAAGGAAAAUGAUUUAGUUAGUAAGCCAGCGAAACCAGGGAGUUGGUGGACCUGAAAGACCACUUUAACUAAGCACGGUUUUAAGCUCCUUUUCUCAUUAGGCAAGGGGGAGACAGAGGGAAAUGUUAGGAAAUCAUUGAUAACUAAAGACUCCCAUGUACCUCUCUGGUGAUUGGGAAUGGUUAUAAAACCUGGUGGCUGGUGAUCUGUUGAUUUGACACACAGUCAUGAUGCCCUUUAUUAUAUCUUGAUAAUAAUCUUAGCUAUUCUUUAUUAUUACUAUCCUUGAAGUUGGGGGAGAGAGUGGGGAGUUUUCAGGUAAAUCAGUUUUCAAGAUGAUACUUUUGGGCAAAUUUUCCUUAAGUGAUUAACCAGGGUCACCUGCUCAGGGAGGUGUAGAUAUUUUCUAGUGAAGGAUAGAUGUGAGGUUAAAUACAACAAGGAGGAAGUGGGGCCAAGUUUUCUUUAAACCAUAAGCCUGGCUAUAAUUAUAACCUACACAUCAGAGAUAUUAUCUACAGCAGAGCUAGUGGGAUAUUAAUAAUAUAUUUCUCAGCUGUGUGACCUUCAAAAUUAGCGAUUUUUAAAAGUCAUCUAAAAGCAAUAAACUAAGAUCAAGUAAAGUUAAAGGGUUUACUUAGAUUUUCACUUGGUUUCAGUACCCCACCAUGCUAAGCUCUUUCCCAGCUUAGCAACUGAAUUCUGGAUUCAAAAUCCAAAAAUAUCAGAGGAACUCAAUUCUAAAAAGAACUGAGCCUAAUCCAAGAGAAACUAACUUACAACACUUGGGGCUCCAUGAUGAAGACAGAGGACCUCAAAAUGGUGAGUAGCACAUUGCUUGCAUUCCUAAAGGGGUCUCAGCAGUCUCUUUAGGUUCCUUCAUGGCCACCAAAAACCAUCAAAAGACAAGAUUACAAAUAAUUGAGUUUAAAUAUCUAGUUGGCUUUUAUUUGUGAUUAUAGAAUCAGGCAACACUUCAAUCUAUAAAAUAGAAUGAAUGUUCCAAUGAACAUUUGGAUGUUGGCUUUGUAGUCAGAAAAGGGCUAAAGAAAACAGAAAUUGGAAAUAAAAACAGGUUGAUCAUUUUAAAAUUACUUUUCACAUAGGAUUAAAAUAGAUUUCCUCUUAUUUCAGUCACUCAGGUUGACAGGAACCUCUUGUGUGUUUUUUGUUUGUUUGUUUUUUAUAACUGGCUUAUUCCUUUCAAAGUUCAGUUUCAUUAUGUGGUAUUUAGCACAAGUGACUUCCUUCUGAUUUGGUUGGUCUGUUGGGGCCUAGCAUAGCAGACUAUUGCAAAACAAUGGCCUCCCAUAAAAAAAAAAUUAACAAUUUUAUCAACUGCAGGCUCCCCAGUUAUCACCAACACUACCAACUGAUAAGAUAAAAUUGAGUUUAUUCUUCCUAAAGUAAGGGAGACCACACCUUGACCUCACCAAGACCCUUGGGGACAGUCUUGAAGGGAAAAAAGAAAAUUGAAAUUUAUUGAGAAUUUGAAGGUUGUUUUAAGAAGUCUUUCAAUGUGGAGAGGGGACUGAUGAUAAAAUUUAGUAUCUUUAUUUGUUUCUAUAUCCUGAAAACAAACAUGAUGUUUCUGCUAUAUGAGGGAAGAAUAAAACCCAUAGGUUUUUAGUUGGAAGAGACUAUUGAUACAAAAGACAGAUUUAUAAAAAAAAAAAAGUAGUUUAUUAACAUGUGUGUUACAUAUAUACAUGCAAAACACCAGGGAUGGCUUUGAAUGCCAGCUUAUAUAGCAUCUUCAACAAAUGACAAUAUAAUUUUAGAGGAGUGACCAGACAAAAGAAAAGGACUUGGGCUGGGGUUGUGGCUCAGUGGUAGAGUGCUUGCCUAGCAUGCAUGAGGCACUGGGUUUGAUCCUCAGCACCACAUAAAAAUGAAAUAAAGAUAUUGUGUCCACCUUAAAAAAAAGAAAGAAAGAAAGAAAAGGACUUUGGGUCUCUUGGGGGAAGGCAAAUAAAUGGCAGAAAGUGGCAAAAGUGUGACAGUGGUUACAACCUUUGUGGGUUGUCUUUUGCAUGCUUAUUCCUCCUCCCUUUGUCCUUUGGAAAUUUACUUUCUCCAGCAUUCUAAAUUCUAAAGAGAAGCCACACCUAAAUGACUCUGUUAGUCACCAAAAUAUCUGACAACUUAGAAGAGGAAAGAUUUGUUUUGGUUUUAUGGUUUCAGAGGUCUCAGUUCAUUGCUGGCCAACUCCAUUUUGAUGUGUGGCAGAACAUCAUGGCAGAAGGGUGUGGCAGAGGAAAGCUGCUCAGCUUAUGGCAACUGGGAAGCAGAGAAAGAGAGAGAAAGAGCCAGAGGCAGGGUAGAGAUUCCAAGACCACACCCUCAGAGACCUACUUCCUCCAGCCACACCUCACCCACCAACAGUUACCACCCAGUAGUUUAUUCAGCUAUCAAUGGGUUAAUUCAACAAAUGGGUUAAUCCACCAGAGAGGUCAGAGUCCUAGUUAUUGCUUAAAUGCCCCACCUCUGAAUCUUGUUGCAUGUGGGAUCACAACACAUGAACUUUUGGAGAGCAGUCCAGAUCUAAACCAUAGCAAUAAUUAAACUGUUAACUACUAAAUAAUAUUUCUUUAGGUUUAUAGAACCCAGAACCUCUGGAACCUUCAGACUGUUUCAGAACAUGUAAUGUCCCUCCUUAUUCUUCAGUUCUCUAUAUCAAUUAACAUAUAGCAUGUAAAUUGCUAUGAGGUUUAAUUUUCAAAAAAGUAAUAUAUCUAAAAAACUACAGGAACUAACCCCAGAAGACUGAGAUCCAUCAAAAUGUUCUAGUUAGGAAAAGAGGAGAGAAGGACGCUGUGGAUGAGGAAGGACCUACUAGCAUGUAGGCUUCCUCCCUAUUGUUACCUGUAUCUCUUUUCCCUCCAUUAAAAUCUCUUUCAUUUACCUGAGUUACCCAAGAUGGAGCUUUGAGGAUAAUGUCUUCUCCAACUUCUCAGGAUGCUGGCCCUUGCAUAAAACGGAUUUACUUCUCAUCAACUCUUUUCUUCCAAGUAUUGGUUUUAUUGGUGAGCAACAGGACCUGGGUCUGAUGACAAAAGUAAAGACUGUUACUGUAAAUUCCUCUGAUACAUUUUGAAAGUUGUCUUCAAUAGUCAACUUUUGGUGGAGGGCAAAGAAGGAUAGCUUUUGUCUUUGUAAAUCUUUCUUGCAUCUGCUGCUUUUUAAGCACUUUUACCUUAAUAAUUCCUCAUAUUUUGGGUGACAUAUUUAUGAUCUCUCAAACUGGAUCUAGAUAGUGAUAAAAAGGAAAUUUGGGGAUGUUUACACUACCAGGGCUGGAGGUUGGAAAGGGUAAAACAUAAAGGAAACUAAUUGAUUAACAAGUGUGGGAGAAAAUAAGACGAUUUCACAUCCUGAAUAUAUGCUGAAACUCUGACUUAAAUCACAACACUGCCAAUCCUAGGACCAUUGUUUGUAUAAAAUCUCUAUGUACUGUGAAUUCUAACUAGUCCAGAAGCAACAAUUACUUCUUAUGGACUGUGCUCCCAUCCCAAAGCUUUCCCCACUUCAUAUUAUCCCACCCAUCUUAUCUGUGGCACAUGUAGAUUCAAUGUGAACAGCCUGUGCUUUCAUUCUUCAAAUUUUUAUUAUAAAAAUACUCUGAGCUCUAGGUCAGUGGAUAUUUUUUUCAGCUGCUACCUAGGUUUGCUGCUGGUCAUUGCGGAACUGGUUCUUUUUCUGGUUAUCAUCUAUAGUAGUUCAAUGAACCCAUUUGUUUCAGGUUACUACUUAUUACAGUGAUAACUGCAUUAGUUCCAUACACCACAUUUUUUCACUUUUCUGGGAUGACAGAUAUAGAUGUGUAAACAAAGGUGACUUCUUGUAAAGGAACCCUAAAACUACGAAUCUAGCGUUUACAUAGGAUGAUUUUGCACAUCAUCCCUGUUCCCCUUCUGAAAGAGAGAAAGAAACCAAUACCCAGCUCUAAACAAAAUCUCCUUGGGAAAGAAGAAAAAGAUCACUUUAGAAUGUAAAUAAAUGUCUCUGGGGAGAGCUAAGGCAAACUUGGCAGGGUUUACAACCUUAGAAUGUCUCCAUGUCUGGGUUAUUCUCCUUUGAAUCUGUUUUUGGGUUUUCAUUUUUUUUUUCAAUUCUCCUUUGAAAUGUACACAGGGACCUCCAGGGAGGUACUUCCUAGAAGAUAAAUCUUUUUGGAGUUCACUGUGAUCCAAUUGUCCUUUAAUUUAGAAGAGUUGUUCUUUAACCCAGAUUUCAGUAAAAUUUGCUCAGCAAGUCCUAAUUAUGCAGGAAAGUGAAAAUGUUAACUUCCUGACACAGCCUUGAUUAAGACUGGAUAAGGAUCAUGAUCAGUAAUGGAAAUAAAUGAAGACCAACCAAUUGAGAACAUACACAAGCUAUUUAUUCAGAGCUCACUGUAGCAAAGGAAUUGGCCACUAUCACCUGUAUUUGGCACAGACUCAAAGGCAGGCAGAGGACUGGGAAAGUCUUGAGUGUGGAAAAAGAGAAUUCACAUAUGCCCUGGUUGGAGUCUGUUGGCAGGGAAAAAUUAUAGGAAGACUGCCCACACUUAGGGCAACCUAUGUGAUUGAUUAGUGGUACACAUUUAGCUUUUUCCAGUUGGUCCUAUAUUAGAAGCAAGGAAAGAAUUUAGGGAAAGUAGCAAGUAUUAAUCAAGUCAGGGUUGUUCGUGGCCAAUUUUGACAGCAUUAUUAUUUGGCUUCCCAGACGGUUUACUAGAGACAGGAGUCUGACUUCUUAUAAGUCUGACUUUUGACUGGUGAAAUGUAAUUCUAAGCUGGUUAAUGUCAUUAAUGGUUUGGUUUCCUCAGCUAGUUGCUACAAAUUGUGGGUCAGCAUUCUAUCUAUCUAUCUAUCUAUCUAUCUAUCUAUCUAUCUAUCUAUCUAUCUAUCUGUAUGUCUGUCUGUCUAUCUAUAUGGUAUGGCCACUGUUCAUUUGCAUAUUCAAUCCCUUAAAGAUUAAAUUUUGAGGAAAGGCAAAAUUUUUGAAGUAAGAAAGUCUUAGGAAAGAAGUUAUCAGUUGAUGCUUCCUAUUGAAGAAUAGACCCUCUUUGGGAACAUUUCUAUAGUGAACAAUUAAAUUAUUUGUUUGGAUAAGAAUAUUCUGGAACAGUGAAUUUGUGCGCAUGAGGAUAAUGGUAUAGUAGUCAUGUAAAUGAAGAAAUAGGUGGGGGAGAGUAGCAGAUAGAUGUGUAUUUCUGUAUUUAGUUGAAUGAUCUGAAGGGAAGGGAACCAAGAUUUGUUGAACAUGGCAAUUAUUACUCAAUUUUAUUCCCCUUUCCACUUUCCCUUGGCCAUGCAUGAUGUUAUGAAAAAGGUGGGAAUAUGAAAUGGAGAUUCAGAGUUUAAAUGACUUGUCCAAGGUCACAUUUAAAUUAUAGUAAAUUCAGAAUUCAAAUUCAGUUGUGGGACUCUCAAAUCUCACGCUCUUUCUAUAUUAUGCUAUUUCAAGGAAAGAGACGUCUCCAGAGAAGGGUCUGAGGAGUUCUCAAAGAGGCAAAAGAAUUCAACUCAUGACCAACAGGGAUUCUUGGCAUAUAUGACUGCUUUAGUCUGCUUUUUCAUCUCUGUGGCCAAAAGACCUGAAAAGAACAAUGUAGAAGAAGAAAAGUUUAUUUGGGGCUCACAGCUUCAGAGGUUCAGUCCAUGACUGGCUGGCUCCAUGGCUCUAGGCCUGAGGUGAGGCAGAACAUCACGGCAGAAGGGUGUGGUGCAGGAAAGCAGCCCAGGACAUGGCAACCAGGAAACAGAGAGAGCUUUGUCCACCAGGAACAAAAUAUAAUUCCCAAAGGCAUGCUCCUAUGACCUAUAUCCUCCAACUACAUCCUACCUGCUUGCAAUUACUACCUAGUUAAUCCAUAUCAGUGGAUUGAUUUACUGAUUAGGUUACAACUCUCAUAAUUUGAUUAUUUAACCUCUGAAUAUUCUUGCAUUGUCUUGCACAUAAGCUUUUGGAGGAUAUCUUAUAUCUAAACCAUAAUUGUGACAGAAAAGAAUUUCAUCAUGUGCCAGACAAAGGCAUAGACAGAGGUUUACUUAGGAAGUAGAUACAAUUCAAGGGAGAAUGCAGGCUGUCUCAACAGUGAGAAGCACCUCUUUGGGUUGGAGGGGUCCAAUGUUUAUACAGGGGCUGUAGUUAGGAGUUGGUGGAGGUGGAACUGCACAAAUUUUGUGCCAGUUUUCAUUGCACUUACACAUUUUUCUCAUUUUACAAGGGCACAAACCAAGGGCAUCUUGCUCAAGAUUUACAACUGUAUCUUCUGCAUCUCAGUAGCCUCUGGGCAUUUCCUUUGAGAGUCAGUCUCUCUCUCUCUCUCUCUCUCUCUCUCUCUCUCUCUCCUAAACAUCUAUCUCAACAUUGUCUUACAUAAAUUUAAAUAUUGCCCAAACCACCUAUUCACUGUCUUGCCAUGUGUCUAAUAGGUAUAUCCAUAUGUAUGGUUUGGAGAAGAAGAAAGAUAGUGGCAUGAUUCUGGAAGUACAGCAAAGUAAGUACUUUUUUUAAUGUAGUAUUUCUUUCUGGGUUUUUUGAGGAUUGAGUCCAGAUUUUGAGUUUGCAUUAGCCCUUUGUUUCAAUUUGUCUGGCUUGAUAAAAGCCCCUUUUAGUUACUGAAAUAUAACACAUUUUAAAAAAAAUGCAUGCUUUCUACUUUUUUCCCCUUAAAAGUGAUUGGCAAAAGUAGCUAGAUUUAACUUCAAAUAAUUAAAUGUAUGUGCUUCUUUGGUAUCAUUUCAGAUUUUGCAAAUGCUAUGCAGUUUUCAAGAAAGAAGGAAAUAAAACUUCUGGCUGUCCUUAGAUUUAUGGUCUUCACAGUUUGCAACCUCUGCUGCUGGCAAUUUUACUGAGCUGGCACACUCUCCAGAGGACAUCAUUUUAUCUUUUAAAAACAAUUACAAUCAUAAUUAGUAUUGUUAUGACUUUUUAGGCACGGCAGGGGAAUGCAGUGAUCUGGCCUGCAGUUUAUCAACAUGAAAAGCUGGGAAUUUAGCUAUGUUAAGAGGGGCUUCAUGGUGCCUUCCUCUGAACCAAGUUCUGCAACUAUGGGCAGACACACCCUCAGAAGGAUUUUGUAUUUGGUGGGAACUCUACUGGGGGAAUCUCCCACUAGACACCCCACAGUUGGUAAUUUUCUUCUCUUUUUCACUGAAAGAGGUUACCAACUAUAUCAGUACACGUAAACUCUGCUGUACAUUGGAAAUUCCUGGGGAGUUUUGGAAACUGUUGAUGCUCUGGCUGUACCUGGACCAAUUAAAUUAGAAGUUCUGGAGGUGGGACCAGGCAUUAGUAUUUUCUAAAACUCAUGUUAAAGAAAAAAAAAUCAAUGACACUUGGUAAAGCAAGUUAAGGAAGACUUUACUGAGGACCAUCACCAUAAGUAAAGGGACAACAGCAAUGAGAUUUUAGAUAGGGGAGAAAGAUUGGGCUCAACUCUGAAUACAGCAGGGGCAAGUGGGAAGAAGCAGAGUGGGGUUGUUACCAACCCGAAUAUUAGAUUCAUGUACACAGUGUGCAGCAACCAAUUAAUAAAUGAACACUGACACUUGAGGUAGAGAAAUUUUAACUGAGAAGGUACCAACUCAGAAGGUUGGUGAUAUGCCUCAAAUUUGCCUUAUCCCCCAAGCCUGAUCAUGAGUUAUAUAAGGGAAAAGGAGAAUCCAAAGGGAAACUGAUAGUUUUCCAAGUUUUGAUGAAAUCAAGGUUUUCAGAUUUCUUGGCACUUGGCAUACGAUUCUGCAGUUCUACAAAUCUUGUAAAUCACCAUUUGUAACAAAUAUAGCAAAGUUAUCAAUUGAUAAUUAUAGGAAUGGGAACAGGGACUCUGUUUAGCUGUCUAAACAGAAAAUAAAGAGUGUGUUUUGUUUUGUUU